Molecule: ribosomal RNA, 499 nt
Filed under: uncultured archaeon
Lineage: Archaea
Description: bacterial SSU rRNA
Rfam family: Archaeal small subunit ribosomal RNA
Source: RNAcentral
CUCAGUAACACGUGGAUAACCUGCCCUUAGGACUGGCAUAACCCCGGGAAACUGGGGAUAAUUCCGGAUAGUUCAUGGUAGCUGGAAUGCUCCAUGAUCGAAAGCUACUGCGCCUAAGGAUGGGUCUGCGGUCUAUCAGGUAGUAGUGGGUGUAAUGUACCUACUAGCCGACGACGGAUACGGGUUGUGGGAGCAAGAGCCCGGAGAUGGAUUCUGAGACAUGAAUCCAGGCCCUACGGGGCGCAGCAGGCGCGAAAACUUUACAAUGCGGGAAACCGCGAUAAGGGGACACCGAGUGCCAGCAUCUUAUGUUGGCUGUCCGCAUGUAUAAAUCACAUGUGUUAGCAAGGGCCGGGCAAGACCGGUGCCAGCCGCCGCGGUAACACCGGCGGCCCGAGUGGUGGCCACUAUUAUUGGGUCUAAAGGGUCCGUAGCCGGUUUGGUCAGUCUUCCGGGAAAUCUGACGGCUUAACCGUUAGGCUUUCGGGGGAUACUACCA